Molecule: unclassified non-coding RNA, 354 nt
Filed under: uncultured fungus
Lineage: Eukaryota; Fungi
Description: partial contains small subunit ribosomal RNA, internal transcribed spacer 1, and 5.8S ribosomal RNA
Rfam family: Eukaryotic small subunit ribosomal RNA (bases 1-73)
Source: RNAcentral
CCAAACUUGGUCAUUUAGAGGAAGUAAAAGUCGUAACAAGGUUUCCGUAGGUGAACCUGCGGAAGGAUCAUUACGAAGUUCGCCGCCGGCGCCGCGUCCGCCCCCCGGGCUCCGGGGGGAGAUCCGGGCGCUCGCCGGUCCGCGUCUCACCCGUGAACACUGAACCCCAUGUUGCCUUGGCGGGCCCGCCGCGCCCCGCGGCCGCCGGGGGACCCUCACCGGUCCCCGGGCCCGUGCCCGCCAACGGAGAAACGAACGUCUGCAGGAAUGAUCGGGCCGUCUGAGUGGAAUGGAAAAUCAGUCAAAACUUUCAACAACGGAUCUCUUGGUUCCGGCAUCGAUGAAGAACGCAGC